Molecule: long non-coding RNA, 365 nt
Filed under: Capsicum annuum
Lineage: Eukaryota; Viridiplantae; Streptophyta; Magnoliopsida; Solanales; Solanaceae
Description: long non-coding RNA (CANN_LNC018350)
Source: RNAcentral
CCGUCUCGAUUAAUCUUUAUCAUUUGAUGCUUUAUAUGUUGAAUUAGUGAUGUGAGCGAUCUUUGUUUGGCUUGAUUUUGAUUGGUUUGAAUCAUCGUAAGUGUUGGUCGAUUUGGUUGGAUUCUUUGAGUUGAAUAUUUGUUUGAUGGCGAGUUGAGUGAUUGCAUGAUCGAUGAUAAAUCGGGGAGGGAUUGAUCUUGAUAAAGGAAAAUCGGAUUAAUUUUGGUUGGUUGAUUGAAUUGAUGUGAAAUAUUUAUUAAUUUUCUCGAAUAUGAUAGUAUCAUAUUUUAGGCUGAUAUCGAUAGGUGAAUAUAGAUUUGGGUAGGCAAAGAAUUUAGGAAUAAAUGUUUUUCGUGGAAUGUGUG